Molecule: ribosomal RNA, 446 nt
Filed under: uncultured soil bacterium
Lineage: Bacteria
Description: bacterial SSU rRNA
Rfam family: Bacterial small subunit ribosomal RNA
Source: RNAcentral
AGAACGAACGCUGGCGGCAUGCCUAAUACAUGCAAGUCGAACGAACUCUUCGGAGUUAGUGGCGCACGGGUGCGUAACGCGUGGGAAUCUGCCCUUGGGUUCGGAAUAACAGUUGGAAACGACUGCUAAUACCGGAUGAUGACGAAAGUCCAAAGAUUUAUCGCCCAGGGAUGAGCCCGCGUAGGAUUAGCUAGUUGGUGAGGUAAAGGCUCACCAAGGCGACGAUCCUUAGCUGGUCUGAGAGGAUGAUCAGCCACACUGGGACUGAGACACGGCCCAGACUCCUACGGGAGGCAGCAGUAGGGAAUAUUGGACAAUGGGCGAAAGCCUGAUCCAGCAAUGCCGCGUGAGUGAUGAAGGCCUUAGGGUUGUAAAGCUCUUUUACCCGAGAUGAUAAUGACAGUAUCGGGAGAAUAAGCCCCGGCUAACUCCGUGCCAGCAGCCGC